UGGGGGAUAUUGCACAAUGGGCGAAAGCCUGAUGCAGCGACGCCGCGUGGGGGAUGAAGGCUUUCGGGUUGUAAACCUCUUUCGCUAUCGAACAAGGCCCGCUUAGGGUGGGUUGAGGGUAGGUGGAGAAGAAGCGCCGGCUAACUACGUGCCAGCAGCCGCGGUAAUACGUAGGGCGCGAGCGUUGUCCGGAAUUAUUGGGCGUAAAGGGCUUGUAGGCGGCUUGUUGCGCCUGCUGUGAAAACGCGGGGCUUAACUUCGCGCGUGCAGUGGGUACGGGCAGACUUGAGUGUGGUAGGGGUGACUGGAAUUCCAGGUGUAGCGGUGGAAUGCGCAGAUAUCUGGAGGAACACCGAUGGCGAAGGCAGGUCACUGGGCCAUUACUGACGCUGAGGAGCGAAAGCAUGGGUAGCGAACAGG
Molecule: ribosomal RNA, 420 nt
Filed under: bacterium
Lineage: Bacteria
Description: partial 16S ribosomal RNA
Rfam family: Bacterial small subunit ribosomal RNA
Source: RNAcentral